Molecule: long non-coding RNA, 2133 nt
Organism: Nycticebus coucang (slow loris)
Lineage: Eukaryota; Metazoa; Chordata; Mammalia; Primates; Lorisidae
Exons: 3
Source: RefSeq, a predicted model, not a curated record
GAAGAUAAGACGUGUCCGGUGCAGCUCUGGUAUUUAGUGGAGCUCCAGACCAGAAAUGUGGGACACACAGGAAGGAUCACGGGGCUCACAGUGCUGGGGGUGAGAGGACACCCCUGGGGAAGAACAGAUGCGGCCAAUUUCAAAGUCUCCACAGCGUCAGUCCAGUGACGGCCACCAGGGAAAUCGUCACACAGGGGAUAAACCCUUGGCAAUUAAGAUGAUGGCUCUCAGCAUGGCCCAGGCCUGGGACAGCCAGAGGCCUUCAGCUGCCCAGACACUUCCUUGGGCAGGAGCGGAGCAGUGCCUGCGGCCCCCUCCCAGUGUGCAAGGGAGAGAACUUUACCAGGGACACAGCCGCACGUGUCUCACCGAGACGAUCAGCGUGAAAGAAUCAGAGUCACUCAGAUAUGGAGGAGAAGAAUAGUGACGGCAAACGCAAAGGAAAUUCACUCUCAAAAAUGCAUUCCAUUAAGCUGCACGCGGGCUGUGCUGUGAGCAGGUCUCAGGGUAGUGUCAGCUUCUGCUCCUUGACCUUCAAAAGUCUGCAAAGGCCAAGUCCUACUGAACAAAUUGCAGAUGAAAAAGACUAAUUGGUCCCCAGAUGGAGGCAAAUGGCUGCUUUCAGAUCUUGGCUUUUAAAAUGUUUGUUCAGAACAAACCUUUCAGUGCCCCAUGAAAGGCCUCUGACUCCUCUUGACCUUCAGUGACCUCCACCGGGCUGAGCCCUCCCCCCCCCCCCCCCCGCAAUGAAACUGGAGCAGCUUUUGUUUACCAUCCAGGAGCCUCUGGGAGAUCGCAGCAGUUUUUUUAUUUUUAUUUUUUUUAUUUUUUUAUUGUUGGGGAUCGCAGCAGUUUUAAAAAUUAACCUGGGCUCAGGUGGCCAUGUGCCGUGCUGGGCUGUCCGGGUUUCUGGGUCACACAAGAGAAGGCUGCGGGCGCCCGGCCCCCACGGAGCAGAGUGGCCUUGUUGGAAGCCUCGCUUCCUCAUCCUGAUGCCCCUUCUGGAAUCGCCAGACUGGGGCAGAUCCAUACUGUCUCUGAAGCUUAUUGACAUCUGUAACACUUAGUGCCCGUGAACUCUGCGUUUCCAAUCGCAAGUGUGUUCUUUUCUACAAAGAGCCUUUGUCAGAUGAACAGGCACAAAGCUGUCUGUGCUGUGACAGGCCUGAGCUUCGGGCUCACGUGUGUUGUGUUUGGGGUUCAGCUCUGAGUCUAAGUUGUAUGUACGUGUUGCUGAGACUUAAGGCACAAGUGAGUGCCUCCUGACAAACGUGGCAGAUGUGUGGUCACACUGUGGCCUGUGUGCUCAGCUGUCCCACUCUGAGUUGCUGACCAGACUUGAAGUUGGGCCCCUGCGUGCAGAGCCAGGCUCCCAGGUCCUGGCCUGCACUCCCUUCCUGGCUCCUGUUCCCGCCUCCAGACCCAGCCUGCUCUGAGUGGCCUCCUGAGGUUAAUUCCCAGCCGUGAAGGGUUUGGCAGGCAAGGCUGUGGGUCUGACUCCCGUGAAGGACACAGUCUCCCCAGGAAGAGCCCUGGGACAAGGGCAGGAGCAAAAGGGAAGACUCGCUCCGGGGGAGCAGAGUCCCUGCAGGGCCUGCAGGUGGGAGUGGCCACGAGCUUCUUCAGUGUUUUGGGGGAGUAGGCCCAGUGUUGAGUCUGCUGAGGCAUUCUGCUAUUCUACAGGUAUUUGCAACUGAAAACCAAAGUAAGCUGCUGCCUGUUAAGAAGAGAGCCUUCCCUGCCUCCCGUUGCCACUGUUAGAAAUAGAAUGUGUGGGAUCUGAGCGCUGCACAGACUUUGGGGCGGGGAGGGAGGCCUGCUGAGUCACACUUUGAGAACAGUGGUGUAAUUUAAAUACACUUUGAAUUUUAAAACCAAUCUUCCCUUAUAUGCUUAUCACUUCAGCAGUCAUUUUGAUGUUUCUUUGUUCUUGUUUAAUAUUUCUCUUUCGAUCUGAUCACAGUUAUGAGCCAUUUCCUGUUCUAACUCAUUUUUAUUAUACAAGUGCUUCUAUUUGUGAUUAAGAUCCUUAGAUUUACAACUGUAAACUUAUGAGAUAGUCUAGUACGUGUACAAACAAUACUUGCCUAUUUAUCCAAUAUUGAUUGUUGAAUAUUAUUAUAGAGAAACAGA